GAUGAACGCUGGCGGCGUGCUUAACACAUGCAAGUCGAACGAAGCACUUUAUUUGAUUUCCUUCGGGACUGAUUAUUUUGUGACUGAGUGGCGGACGGGUGAGUAACGCGUGGGUAACCUGCCUUGUACAGGGGGAUAACAGUUGGAAACGGCUGCUAAUACCGCAUAAGCGCACAGCAUCGCAUGAUGCAGUGUGAAAAGCUCCGGUGGUAUAAGAUGGACCCGCGUUGGAUUAGCUAGUUGGUGAGGUAACGGCCCACCAAGGCGACGAUCCAUAGCCGACCUGAGAGGGUGACCGGCCACAUUGGGACUGAGACACGGCCCAAACUCCUACGGGAGGCAGCAGUGGGGAAUAUUGCACAAUGGGCGAGAGCCUGAUGCAGCGACGCCGCGUGAGCGAAGAAGUAUUUCGGGAUGUAAAGCUCUAUCAGCAGGGAAGAUAAUGACGGUACCUGACUAAGAAGCACCGGCUAAAUACGUG
Molecule: ribosomal RNA, 481 nt
Filed under: uncultured bacterium
Lineage: Bacteria
Description: partial 16S ribosomal RNA
Rfam family: Bacterial small subunit ribosomal RNA
Source: RNAcentral